GUGACAGGUCACAGCAGAUACAGCAGACACGUCAGGCAAGGAUUGGGGAACUGCCCAUGGACAGACAGCAGAGCAGAAUUGCAAGUGACUUCAGGAGCACCCUUACAGGACAUCAUUAAGGGACAUCCAGCUUGCUCUUCAAUUUCUUCAGAUUUCAAGUUGACUCUUCACUCAAAUCUGGAUUUUUUCCAUUCUAACCACACUGUAGAAGCAGAGUCCUGCAAAAUGGCAAGUGUGUCUUUUUCUACUCUUGCUCGUCAAUGCACUGACAUGGGGUUGAAUCAGAUAUGGGAAACCUGGGAUCUCUCACCUCUGCCACUGGUGUGGCCUUAGAGGGUUGCCUUAUGGCAUCCAAGGCAGCCUGCUGCCCCACUCAGCACCUAUCACUGCAAACAAAACCGCUGCACAAAUGAAAUAUCACCCUUGAAAUAUCAUCCUUGGAAAAGUUCUGCUUCUCCAGAUGAGGCAUGCAAUGAAAUAAUUAUUUGAUGCACUCUCACCCAUUGUGCCCAAGGCAGUAGCAUUCAAUUUUUUGUGCUGAUUUGACCGUGCUGAUCCAUUCAUUAAUACUGUGUCUUUUGCUGGUCAGUAAGUAAUUGGGAGCCUAGCCACUGCUAGAAAAAAAAAAAA
This is a long non-coding RNA of Anas platyrhynchos (mallard), 630 nucleotides long. RefSeq lists it as uncharacterized. The record is from RefSeq and is a predicted model, not a curated record. Lineage: Eukaryota; Metazoa; Chordata; Aves; Anseriformes; Anatidae.